GAGUGGCGGUAGCCUCGGAAACAACAUUCUCCCCAGGGCUGCGUGGAAGAUCUAGGGGUUCUCGAGGGUCGUGGAAAACGUUCACCUUACUUCACUGUUCCUUAGGACCCAACUCCUCAAUGCACUGUGUCUUGGGAGCAGAAGCAGCACUCUCUGUGUGUGUUUGGAGCUUCCAGAGAGAAAAAAACCGGUAUCAGCGAGUAGAUGUUUGGAGGGUAUGGCGAGGGGGAAUCUUUGCUUUAACAAUCAAAACAUCAAAUUCCUUAAAGGUGUACAAGGAGUGCUGAAGAUAUUCACUGGAAUGAGGAGUGGGAACUCGCUAUGGAGUUAAAGGGCAUGCCAAUAGCUGAAAGCUUCCAGGAAAAUGGAGCUAAGACUACUUAUCAAGAACUGUCCUCUGUAGCAGGCUCGCAUUGAUUAGCAUGUGGUCCUGGUAACAUUACUGCAUUCCUAACAAAUGCUGUGUCCUUGUGUUCCUAUGUGUACACAGUACUUGGCAUACUGUAGGUACAUAACCAGUGUGUGUUGUAAGAUUGCUUGUUCAAACCAAAUUUUGACUUGAUAAAUGCCCCUUACUGAACCAAGAUAUGCAAUUAGCCUCAGUCACUAUGAUACCCACUUAUGCUAAUCUGACUUCUGUUUUCUGGGAUUCCCUAAUUGCAGUUCAACAGGUCAGAACAGGUACCUUGUAACAAAGUCCAGUACAGCUGUCAUUUGUUACUAAUGAAGGAAGACUAACAUUUGUGAGCACACUGAUUCACCAGUUUUGUUGUUUUUCUUUUCUUUUUUUCAGACAGGGUUUCUCGUUGUAACCCUGGGUGUUCUAGAACUCACCCUGCAGAUUAUGCUGGGCUUGAAACCAGCAAUCUGCUUCCCAAGUGCUGGAAUUAAAGGUGUGCACCAGCAUUUCCUGGCCCCUCCAUUUUUCAGUCAACCAGGGACUAUGAAGAUGGUGCCAGAGAUUAUAAUGGAGCUGAAAAAUCUGUAUCACUUAGUGGUGUCGUAGCUGUCAUAGCUCUUUCAGUGUGACAGUGCAAGACAGAUCUACAGCGUUUGUGAUGAUGCUGAUACCAACAAGUCCUCUCUACCGUUGUGGACCAUGACUCCUGAUUGCAUCAAAAAGGACAUAAAAUGCUGAUUGCUGUACCCAGAGAUCUGGUUAUAGUCCAGACAUUGGCAUUGUCAUGAUAUUUGGAGCAUCCCCUGUCUCAAGGAUACGUAAAACUUCUUUUCUUCACCUGUGACUGGUUAAUAAAGAGCUGAUGCAGCCUAUGAAGGGUCAGAAGAAAAUAGGGUGCAACUUCUGAUCCCAGUCAUGCGGUCCAAAGCAAGAAGAAGAAGAAGAAGAAGAAGAAGAAGAAGAAGAAGAAGAAGAAGAAGAAGAAGAAGAAGAAGAAGAAGAGAAGAGGCAGAUUCACCCUAAACAGAUGGUCGGGAACUCCCCAUGAGGUCACCAUGAGGAGAAGAUGGAUGGAGCAGGAACAGCCAGGGCAAGACAAAGAUGGCAGACUCCGGAUGUAGACUCAGGUGGCCACAUCCCAGGCUGAUGCUACAGGGCCACAUUCAGGAUUCCAUGCAUCUCCAAGUUGACGGUCUUGCUUCUCUUCGCCUGCCCAUGCCUCAGACAGUGAGUCCCAAGGCACCCGGCAUCCAGUGACUGUUAGAGCCAGAAGAGAAACAAAACACUGAAGUUCUGGCAAAAGUGCACAGCGACUACAGGAUGUCCUGUUACAUUAUCUGGUCAGGCAGACGCAUGACUCACUGUACAGUAUGACACAUCGGAAAUGGGUUUAUUGUGCAUCAGUCCUCUCCCUCAUAAAUAUUAAACACGUAGAUGUGAUGAUAGCAAGCUAUCUUUGUCCUAAUAUAAAGGUUUCUGAUGUACUUUCUUUUUGAAAAAGAAGAAAUUUCAGACAUAUUGGUGAUGAUAAGAAAAAGUACGGGGACCUCACAUUAAACUGCCUUUGAAGCAUCCCCACGUUCCUGCAGCUCCCCUUCUGAAGGCGAGAGUAAUAAAUGGUGUAAAAAGGUAGUUCUGUGCAUUUCACUGUUGUCUUCCAAAGCUGGGAUGGUGUUUGCCCAACUACAAAGCCUCCAGCCGUUCACCCACAGUAGAAGGCUAUGCUGUGGGUGGGCGUGUACCUCAGUGGCAGUGCUUGCCUAGCAUGCUCAAGGCUCUGGGUUCAAUCCCAAGCACAAGAGGGAUAUACUUUUAAAACUCACCAGUAGUUGAAUAAUAAUAAUCACAAAUGUAAGUUGAAAAAUAAUAACCAUUCACAUAAUCAUAAAAAGGGACCAACAUAUUUUCUCAUUGUGAAGAUGUAAAAAUGAAUUUCAUGCAGUCAAUUCUACAAUCCUUUGAGAAAUGAAACUGAAUGAAGAGCUCAUGGUGGAGGAGUGUUCUUCCUCUUUUUAAAAUGGUGUGCUUUUUUAUAGGAGCCUAAAAUGUCUGCUGUACACAGACACUCCUUGAUUACAUUGUGUCAGAGAAUCUUGGUGUCUACUUUCAGUAUAGGAUGACAACUGAACUACAUUGUUGUGUUGUUCUGUAUCUAAGACAGGAUCACACUCUGUAGUUCAAACUCACCUGGAAUUCACUCCAUAGCUCAAGCUGGUCUCAAACUUGCAGUCAUCCACCUAGCCCAGCUUCCCAACUGCUGGAAUUACAGGUGAGAGCAAAUAGUGCCAUCAGGUCACAUCAUUUGUGAAAAGAAAUACUUUUGCAAAGAAAGAAAAUGUCCUUCAGUCCAAUCACUGAAAUUGCUAAAUGAUAAAAUUUAGACUUAGUUUUAGACCUUUCAUGAGUUUGCAGAUUUUGACCCUAAUAAUGUGUGUGUGCAGGGUAGUAUGUGUACAAAUACAUGUGAGUGCAUGUGGGUAUGUGUGUAAAGGUAUGUGUAUGUAGGUCACAGUGUGUAUAGGAUGAUAAAUGCACACAGAUAUGUGAGUGUUUUGUAUUUGAGAGGGGAGAUGUGUUCAAGGGUCUUUUAAAAGGUAAGAGUGUAUAUGUAGAAGUUCAUUGUAAGUAAACAUUGUAAGCUCGUGUAUGUUUAUGGAUGAAUAUAGGGAAAUACUGGGCUCUUAAGACACAUGUGUUAACUUCAUGUAAAUGCAGAUACUUGUGUGCAUAGACUAUUACUGGGAAAUGUAUUCUGGGGUAGUAUUCUGGAAGUGAAUUGGCUGUGUGUGUGUGUGGGGGGGGGGGUUGUGAUAUUAGAAGCUAAACCAGUCGUGGAAGCUGGACUGUGCAGAGCCUUCAGAUCAAGGACAAGCAUUGUGACAUCACUGAGAACAGUUAGUAGGACAGAGAGGGAGGAGAAUCUACAUAA
Long non-coding RNA from Mus musculus (house mouse), 3329 nucleotides. RefSeq annotates it as predicted gene, 42250. Lineage: Eukaryota; Metazoa; Chordata; Mammalia; Rodentia; Muridae. The record is from RefSeq and is a predicted model, not a curated record. The transcript has 4 exons.